This 320-nucleotide long non-coding RNA is filed under the name Androctonus crassicauda. The record is from RNAcentral. Lineage: Eukaryota; Metazoa; Arthropoda; Arachnida; Scorpiones; Buthidae.
GGAGUUCGUUACAUUUCUUCACGAAUGCAAAAUAAACGAUGUUUUCCCGAUGUCUAUUCAUCGUAUACAUUUACCUAUUAAGUCAAGAAGUAUCAAAAAGCAAGUAAAGUACCAAUGUCUGAAAUUCGCGCACACGGAUGCCAAGAGAACCUUAUACAUGCUUAAGAGGAAAGUCCGCCAUUAUGAACUAUUGAUGAUCACUAAGUAUGGAGGCUCCAUACAGCUUAUAUUGCACCAUACUAAGAUGCAAUUUAACAGAUUCACGCAACAAACAAGGAACAGAUAUGUUAAAAAGUUCAAAUGGAUCUUGUAUAAACAGC